RNAcentral lists this ribosomal RNA (646 nucleotides) under Salmonella enterica subsp. enterica serovar Bareilly. Its description in RNAcentral is "partial 23S ribosomal RNA". The stretch from base 88 to 646 matches the Rfam family "Bacterial large subunit ribosomal RNA", at positions 566 to 1126 of the family's 2925-position model. Lineage: Bacteria; Pseudomonadati; Pseudomonadota; Gammaproteobacteria; Enterobacterales; Enterobacteriaceae. The record is from RNAcentral.
CCACCACCAAAGCAUUCUCUGGUGUUGAAGGCCCUGCAAAGCAGCAUCGCGGUGGCGGAGCGUCGUUUGCGACGCCCAACACACAAAACAAGCGGUGAGUGCUUUGGGGUGGGGUGACUGCGUACCUUUUGUAUAAUGGGUCAGCGACUUAUAUUCUGUAGCAAGGUUAACCGAAUAGGGGAGCCGUAGGGAAACCGAGUCUUAACCGGGCGUUAAGUUGCAGGGUAUAGACCCGAAACCCGGUGAUCUAGCCAUGGGCAGGUUGAAGGUUGGGUAACACUAACUGGAGGACCGAACCGACUAAUGUUGAAAAAUUAGCGGAUGACCUGUGGCUGGGGGUGAAAGGCCAAUCAAACCGGGAGAUAGCUGGUUCUCCCCGAAAGCUAUUUAGGUAGCGCCUCGUGAAUUCAUCUCCGGGGGUAGAGCACUGUUUCGGCUAGGGGGCCAUCCCGGCUUACCAACCCGAUGCAAACUGCGAAUACCGGAGAAUGUUAUCACGGGAGACACACGGCGGGUGCUAACGUCCGUCGUGAAGAGGGAAACAACCCAGACCGCCAGCUAAGGUCCCAAAGUCAUGGUUAAGUGGGAAACGAUGUGGGAAGGCCCAGACAGCCAGGAUGUUGGCUUAGAAGCAGCCAUCAUUUAA